CAGUGGCCAAGUUUCCAGUGACCAUCCGCCAUCCUGUCAUACCCAAGCUAUACGACCCUGGACCAGGAGGAAGCUCAGAAACCUGGUUACCAUUGCUACCAAGACUUUCCUCCGCCCCCACAAGCUCAUGAUCAUGCUCCGGAGUAUUCGAGAGUAUUACCCAGACUUGACCGUAAUAGUGGCUGAUGACAGCCAGAAGCCCCUGGAAAUUAAAGACAAUCACGUGGAGUAUUACACUAUGCCCUUUGGGAAGGUUGGUUUGCUGGUAGGAACCUGGCCAUAUCUCAGGUCACCACCAAAUACGUUCUCUGGGUGGACGAUGAUUUUCUCUUCAACGAGGAGACCAAGAUUGAGGUGCUGGUGGAUGUCCUGGAGAAAACAGAACUG
RNAcentral lists this long non-coding RNA (387 nucleotides) under Homo sapiens (human). RNAcentral describes it as "long non-coding RNA NONHSAT054510.2". The record is from RNAcentral. Lineage: Eukaryota; Metazoa; Chordata; Mammalia; Primates; Hominidae.